RNAcentral lists this ribosomal RNA (2960 nucleotides) under Alicyclobacillus sp. SO9. Its description in RNAcentral is "Bacterial large subunit ribosomal RNA". It matches the Rfam family "Bacterial large subunit ribosomal RNA". The record is from Rfam by way of RNAcentral. Lineage: Bacteria; Bacillati; Bacillota; Bacilli; Caryophanales; Alicyclobacillaceae.
GGUGAAGGUAGAAAGGGCGCACGGGGGAUGCCUAGGCGCCAGGAGCCGAAGAAGGACGGGGCGAACACCGAAAUGCCACGGGGAGCUGUAAGCGAGCCUUGAUCCGUGGAUGUCCGAAUGGGGGAACCCCCUGGUCGUGAUGGGCCAGGACUGCAGGCUGAAUCCAUAGGUCUGUAGAGGCAACCGGGAGAACUGAAACAUCUCAGUACCCCGAGGAAGAGAAAACAAGAGUGAUUCCGUCAGUAGUGGCGAGCGAAAGCGGAAGAGCCUAAACCGGAUACGCGGGAAACCUUGCAGGGGAUGCGUAGACGGGGUAGCGGGGCAAGCGAAGAACGGGCUGCAACCGGUUCACAGAGUGAGAAAACGAUGUUCGUAGAGGAAAGGUCUGGGAAGGCCUGUCGAAGAGGGUGAGAGCCCCGUACUCGAAACGGACGCGACUUUGUCGCAUGACCCCAAGUACCGCGGGACACGAGAAACCCCGUGGGAAUCUGGGAGGACCACCUCCUAAGGCUAAAUACUCCCUGGCGACCGAUAGUGAUGAGUACCGUGAGGGAAAGGUGAAAAGCACCGCGGGAGCGGAGUGAAAGAGAACCUGAAACCGUGUGCCUACAAUCAGUCGAAGCAUCCAUAGAGGUGUGACGGCGUGCCUUUUGUAGAAUGAACCGGCGAGUGAGGGCGGCGAGCAAGGUUAAGGUGAGAAGCCGGAGCCGAAGCGAAAGCGAGUCUGAAAAGGGCGAUAAGUUGGCAGUCCUCGACCCGAAACCGGGUGAUCUACCCCUGGUCAGGGUGAAGUGCGGGUAACACCGCAUGGAGGCCCGAACCCACUGGCGUUGAAAAGCCAGGGGAUGAACUGGGGGUAGGGGAGAAAUUCCAAUCGAACUCGGAGAUAGCUGGUUCUCCCCGAAAUAGCUUUAGGGCUAGCGUCCGGGGAUGAGUUGCGGAGGUAGAGCACUGAUUGGGUGCGGGGCCCGUCCAGGGUUACCAAGCUCAGUCAAACUCCGAAUGCCGCAAUAUUAACCCGGGCAGUCAGACUACGAAUGCUAAGAUCCGUGGUCAAAAGGGAAACAGCCCAGACCAACAGCUAAGGUCCCAAAGUACCAGUUCAGUGGGAAACGAUGUGGCGGUGCACAGACAACCAGGAUGUUGGCUUAGAAGCAGCCACCAUUGAAAGAGUGCGUAAUAGCUCACUGGUCGAGUGACGCUGCGCGGAAAAUGUAACGGGGCUAAACUGGACACCGAAGCUUUGGAUGCACAGAGAUGUGCGUGGUAGGGGAGCGUUCCAUGAGCGGCGAAGUUGAGCUGAGAGGCUUGGUGGAGGUCAUGGAAGUGAGAAUGCCGGUAUAAGUAGCGAAAAGACAAGUGAGAAUCUUGUCCGCCGAAAGCCCAAGGGUUCCUGGGGAAGGAUCGUCCGCCCAGGGUUAGUCGGGACCUAAGGCGAGGCCGAAAGGCGUAGUCGAAGGACAACUGGUGGAAAUUCCAGUACCACUCCAGACUGUUUGAGCGAAGGGGUGACGCAGGAGGUCCAGGGAAGCGGCCGGAUGGAAGAGGCCGUCCAAGCAGCAAGAGGGGAAUCGAGGCAAAUCCCGGUUCUGGUAACUUCAAGCUGUGAUGGGGAGGGAAGAACAGUACCGAAGUCCUGAGGAUCACACUGCCGAGAAAAGCCUCUAGUGAGGAAAGGAGUGCCCGUACCGAAAACCGACACAGGUGGGCGCGUGGAGAACACGAAGGCGCGCGGGAAAACUCUCGUUAAGGAACUCGGCAAAAUGGCCCCGUAACUUCGGGAGAAGGGGCGCUCAUCGAGAGAUGAGCCGCAGUGAAAAGGCCCAAGCGACUGUUUAUCAAAAACACAGGUCUCUGCCAAGCCGAAAGGCGAAGUAUAGGGGCUGACGCCUGCCCGGUGCUGGAAGGUUAAGAGGAGGGCUUAGGGGCAACCCGAAGGUCUGAAUUGAAGCCCCAGUAAACGGCGGCCGUAACUAUAACGGUCCUAAGGUAGCGAAAUUCCUUGUCGGGUAAGUUCCGACCCGCACGAAAGGCGCAACGACUUGGGCGCUGUCUCAACGAGAGACCCGGUGAAAUUGUAAUACCUGUGAAGAUGCAGGUUACCCGCGGCUAGACGGAAAGACCCCGUGGAGCUUGACUGCAGCUUGAUAUGGGAGAUGGGUAUGUCAUGUACAGGAUAGGUGGGAGACAGAGAAGCAGGGGCGCAAGCCAAUGUGGAGUCGGUGUUGGGAUACCACCCUUGAGAUGCCAAUCUUCUAACCUGGCGCCAUGAAACUGGCGUGGGGACAGUGUCAGGCGGGCAGUUUGACUGGGGCGGUCGCCUCCAAAAAGGUAACGGAGGCGCCCAAAGGUUCCCUCAGCGCGGAUGGAAAUCGCGCAGUGCGUGUAAAGGCAAAAGGGAGCUUGACUGCGAGACGGACAGGUCGAGCAGGGACGAAAGUCGGGCUUAGUGACCCGGCGGCCCCGAGUGGAAGGGCCGUCGCUCAACGGAUAAAAGCUACCCCGGGGAUAACAGGCUGAUCUCCCCCAAGAGUUCACAUCGACGGGGAGGUUUGGCACCUCGAUGUCGGCUCAUCGCAUCCUGGGGCUGAAGUCGGUCCCAAGGGUUGGGCUGUUCGCCCAUUAAAGCGGUACGCGAGCUGGGUUCAGAACGUCGUGAGACAGUUCGGUCCCUAUCUGCCGCGGGCGCAGGAUACGUGAGAGGAAUCGUCCUUAGUACGAGAGGACCGGGAUGAACAGACCGCUGGUGUCCCAGUUGUUCUGCCAAGAGCAUAGCUGGGUAGCUAAGUCUGGAAGGGAUAAGCGCUGAAAGCAUCUAAGCGCGAAGCCCCCCUCAAGAUAACGUGUCCCAUCCAUUUAUGGAGUAAGACCCCUUGAAGAAGACGAGGUAGAUCGGUCCGGAGUGGAAGCGUAGUGAUACGUGGAGCUGACGGAUACGAAUCGGUCGAGGGCUUCACCAG